This is a non-coding RNA of Pelobates cultripes (western spadefoot toad), 1833 nucleotides long. Lineage: Eukaryota; Metazoa; Chordata; Amphibia; Anura; Pelobatidae. The record is from the annotation of a GenBank genome assembly.
CCAUAGCUUGUUAUAUAAUUACGAUAAAAUUAGGUCACUCUCACAGAAAUGUGCUUUUAUGAUAUGCAUGUUUGUUUGUAUACUCAUUCAUAAUGUCUUACUGUAUGGAUAAGCUUCUGCCUCAAUAAAAAAACAAAGAUUGAUAACAACAAAAAAUUGUCUGUAUUAUGAAUACUAGUAUUGACACAAUAGUAUAUUGUGUUGUGUCUUAAUGGGCGAUUAAUUAAUUAAUAGGGUGAUGUGAACUCAUCAUUAUGUUGUUAUCCACUAACAAGUGAGUAAUACAGAGUCAGCAACAGAUGGACUUUCUAAGCAGUAAUGUUAAAGGGACACUCUGCGUCCAAACAACUUUAUCAAUCACUGGAAUUGUUUGCAAAUAGUUUUUUAACAAUGUAAUACAAGAGAGCACCCAAGGACACAAGCCCCCCCAUAACAACGUAUUUUUAGACAGGGCCGGACUAGAAAGAAAAUUCGGCCCGGGCAUUUCUUAUUACAGCGGCCCAGUGAGAAGGGGGCGGGGCCAGAUAGGGUCUGUUUUGUCAUCACCAAUGACAAGUACAGCCCAUCACAAAGUGAGCAUGUUGGUUCAAUGCUCUUCCAGGGCAGACCAUGCACAGAGCUCUGCUGAUGAGAAAAAGGCCUGUAUUUGUUCUGCACAGCGCAAGCAAAUUUAAUAACAUGCUUGCACUGUGUUUGCUUGAAAUUUGGCUCUGGUGUCUCCAUAUACCAGGAGACAAAAAUGCUGGGAAAGAGUAUUGUGCAGUGUGUGUGUGUGUGUGUGAGGGUUGUAGUGUGUGCAAGAGGAGUGCAAUGUGUGUGUGUGAGGGGUGUAGUGUGUGCAAGAGGCGUAUGAGGGUGCUGUGUGGGUAAGGUUGCUGUGUGUGUGAGGGGUGCAGUGUGUGUGAAAGAGGGUGCUGUUUCAGGGGUGCAGUGUGUGUUAGGGUAAGGGUGUGCAGUGUGUGUGAAAGAGGGUGCUGUUUCAGGGGUGCAGUGUGUGUUAGGGUAAGGGUGUGCAGUGUGUGUGUGAGGGUGCUGUGUGUGAGGGGUAUAGUGUGUGUGCAGGAGGGGUGCAGUGUGUGUGUGAGGGUGCUGUGUGGGUAAGGGUGCUAUGUGCGUGUGUGAGAGUGAGGGUUCUGAGUGUCAGGGGUGCAGUGUGUGUGUGUGUGUUUGUGAGGGUGCUGUGAGUGCCAGGGGUGCAGUGUGUGUGUGUGUGUGUGUGUGUGUGUGUGUGUAAGUGAGGGUGCUGUGAGUGCCAGUUGUGCAGUGUGUGUGUGUGUGCUGUGAGUGUCAGGAGUGCAGUGUGUGUGAGUGAGGAUGCUGUGAGUGUCAGGGGUGCAGUGUGUGUGUGUGUGAGUGAGGGUGCUCGUGUGUGAAUAUGUUUGGAGGGCUUGUGUGUUGGGGGGGCAGAAUAUUUUCUAUAUAUUCAUUUUAAAAAAGUAAAGAAGCAUUGAUUAUAUCCCCCCUCCCUUCUUACCUUUAGCCUGGGAGGAGGGACCGUGCCAUUCCUGGUGGUGCUAGUAGUGAGUGAACUCUAGCCUGUGGGGCUAGAGUUCACUAUCGCGAGACCCGGAGAGUUCUCGCGAGAGGAACCAGGCAGAACUGCAAAAUAGAGCACCUCCGGGUUCCUCUCUUGUCUCCCUCCGUCUCUCCCCUGCCGGCUGCCUCAAUACACUACAUGUGGGCUGGUGAGGGAGAUAUUCCAUCUCCCCACCGGCCCGUCAUGGUACACAGCGGGGCCGGCGCUCGGAUAGUGCCGGCCCUGCAUAGACUGGCAGGGAAGAUCCUGUGAUCUCACCUGCCGGCCCCGGGCCAUGGCCACCUUCAGCAACAUGG